AUUGAACGCUGGCGGCAUGCUUUACACAUGCCAGUCGAACGGCAGCGGGGAGGAGCUUGCUUCUCUGCCGGCGAGUGGCGAACGGGUGAGUAAUACAUCGGAACGUGUCGAGAAGAGGGGGAUAACCACCCGAAAGGGUGGCUAAUACCGCAUAAAUUCUGAGGAAGAAAGCUGGGGACCUGGGAAUAGGCCUAGCGCUUUUUGAGCGGCCGAUGUCGGAUUAGCUAGUUGGUGAGGUAAAGGCUCACCAAGGCGAAGAUCUGUAGCGGGUCUGAGAGGAUGAUCCGCCACACUGGGACUGAGACACGGCCCAGACUCCUACGGGAGGCAGCAGUGGGGAAUUUUGGACAAUGGGGGCAACCCUGAUCCAGCCAUGCCGCGUGUAUGAAGAAGGCCUUAGGGUUGUAAAGUACUUUUGUUAGGGAAGAAAAGUCAGCUGUGAAUAAUGGCUGAUACUGACGGUACCUAAAGAAUAAGCACCGGCUAACUACGUG
RNAcentral lists this ribosomal RNA (494 nucleotides) under uncultured bacterium. RNAcentral describes it as "partial 16S ribosomal RNA". It matches the Rfam family "Bacterial small subunit ribosomal RNA", at positions 30 to 507 of the family's 1533-position model. The record is from RNAcentral.